GAAUUUUAAUUUGAGUUAUGUGCCGCUUGAUCAAACAAAUUUCGUUUGUAACAUCCAUUCAGUUUAUUAAACUUACAUUUUUUCAGGAAGUUGUUAAUGUGAGUAAGUAAUACUUAACAGGGUUCAAGGAGGGGCUGUUGUUGUGUCACUUUCUUUAUCGAGGAGAAUUUAAGGACAUCACCGCCUCAAACAUGGGGGGAUGCAGGAUUGUUCUGUGUAGAGCUGGUGUUGACUGAUGCUCUCACGAGGGAGCACACAACUUAACAGGGAGAUGAGCGGAACAAAAAGAAAGCAAGUGGUGUCUCGAACAUUGAUGGUGGAUGCUAUGCAAAGUGCAUUGAUCUCUCUAGAGCUAAAUAACUAGAGAUUUGGAAUGCCAUCAAGUUUGGAACUGAAUCUGUGUUCCUGCAUACCGUCCUAUAACAGAGAUUCUGGAAAAGGAGGAGGUUAGGU
Molecule: long non-coding RNA, 453 nt
Organism: Papaver somniferum (opium poppy)
Lineage: Eukaryota; Viridiplantae; Streptophyta; Magnoliopsida; Ranunculales; Papaveraceae
Exons: 3
Source: RefSeq, a predicted model, not a curated record